Pelobates cultripes (western spadefoot toad) is the source of this 202-nucleotide non-coding RNA. NCBI's taxonomy places the organism in Eukaryota, Metazoa, Chordata, Amphibia, Anura, Pelobatidae. The record is from the annotation of a GenBank genome assembly.
CCCGGGGUUGGCUUGGCUGGUGACAGCAGGGGGGCAAGAGGCAGACAGGGGACGGCUAAGGCACGGAGCGGUCCAGAGGGGUAUAGCGCAGCAAGACGGAACAGAGGGUCAUCAGGCAGCGGGCGGGAGCGCAGCGCUUCCCCGGGUUUUCCUAUACGACCGGGAAAGGGACAAUGACAGGCGAGGCUGGUAGUUAGGGGAG